ACUCCUACGGGAGGCAGCAGUAGGGAAUCUUCCACAAUGGGCGCAAGCCUGAUGGAGCAACACCGCGUGAGUGAAGAAGGGUUUCGGCUCGUAAAGCUCUGUUGUUAAAGAAGAACAUAUCUGAGAGUAACUGUUCAGGUAUUGACGGUAUUUAACCAGAAAGCCACGGCUAACUACGUGCCAGCAGCCGCGGUAAUACGUAGGUGGCAAGCGUUGUCCGGAUUUAUUGGGCGUAAAGCGAGCGCAGGCGGUUUUUAAGUCUGAUGUGAAAGCCUUCGGCUCAACCGAAGAAGUGCAUCGGAAACUGGGAAACUUGAGUGCAGAAGAGGACAGUGGAACUUCACGUGUAG
Molecule: ribosomal RNA, 350 nt
Filed under: uncultured bacterium
Lineage: Bacteria
Description: bacterial SSU rRNA
Rfam family: Bacterial small subunit ribosomal RNA
Source: RNAcentral